Molecule: ribosomal RNA, 292 nt
Filed under: uncultured bacterium
Lineage: Bacteria
Description: partial 16S ribosomal RNA
Source: RNAcentral
GGACUACUCGGGUUUCUAAUCCCAUUCGCUCCCCUGGCUUUCGUUCCUCAGCGUCAGUUACGGCCCAGCAAGUCGCCUACGCCACUGGUGUUCUUCCCAAUAUCUACGCAUUUCACCGCUACACUGGGAAUUCCACUUGCCUCUACCGCACUCCAGUCUGCCAGUAUCCAGUGCACUCCCGAGGUUGAGCCCCGAUCUUUAACACCAGACUUAACAAACCGCCUACGAACUCUUUACGCCCAAUAAAUCCGGACAACGCUUGCAUCCUACGUCUUACCGCGGCGGCUGGCAC